AUUGAACGCUGGCGGCAUGCCUUACACAUGCAAGUCGAACGGUAACAGGUCUUCGGAUGCUGACGAGUGGCGAACGGGUGAGUAAUACAUCGGAACGUGCCCAGACGUGGGGGAUAACGAGGCGAAAGCUUUGCUAAUACCGCAUACGAUCUAAGGAUGAAAGCAGGGGACCGCAAGGCCUUGCGCGUUUGGAGCGGCCGAUGGCAGAUUAGGUAGUUGGUGGGAUAAAAGCUUACCAAGCCGACGAUCUGUAGCUGGUCUGAGAGGACGACCAGCCACACUGGGACUGAGACACGGCCCAGACUCCUACGGGAGGCAGCAGUGGGGAAUUUUGGACAAUGGGCGAAAGCCUGAUCCAGCAAUGCCGCGUGCAGGAUGAAGGCCUUCGGGUUGUAAACUGCUUUUGUACGGAACGAAAAGGCUCUGGCUAAUACCUGGGGCACAUGACGGUACCGUAAGAAUAAGCACCGGCUAACUACAUG
RNAcentral lists this ribosomal RNA (482 nucleotides) under uncultured bacterium. Its description in RNAcentral is "partial 16S ribosomal RNA". It matches the Rfam family "Bacterial small subunit ribosomal RNA", at positions 30 to 507 of the family's 1533-position model. The record is from RNAcentral.